This 230-nucleotide ribosomal RNA is filed under the name uncultured bacterium. Its description in RNAcentral is "partial 16S ribosomal RNA". It matches the Rfam family "Bacterial small subunit ribosomal RNA", at positions 118 to 350 of the family's 1533-position model. The record is from RNAcentral.
UGAGUAACCUGCCCUUCACUUCGGGAUAACUCCGGGAAACCGGGGCUAAUACUGGAUAUGACCUGGUGCCGCAUGGUGCUGGGUGGAAAGUUUUUCGGUGAGGGAUGGACUCGCGGCCUAUCAGCUUGUUGGUGAGGUAAUGGCUCACCAAGGCGACGACGGGUAGCCGGCCUGAGAGGGUGACCGGCCACACUGGGACUGAGACACGGCCCAGACUCCUACGGGAGGCA